GACGAACGCUGGCGGCGUGCCUAAUACAUGCAAGUAGAACGCUGAGGUUUGGUGUUUACACUAGACUGAUGAGUUGCGAACGGGUGAGUAACGCGUAGGUAACCUGCCUCAUAGCGGGGGAUAACUAUUGGAAACGAUAGCUAAUACCGCAUAAGAGUAAUUAACACAUGUUAGUUAUUUAAAAGGAGCAAUUGCUUCACUGUGAGAUGGACCUGCGUUGUAUUAGCUAGUUGGUGAGGUAAAGGCUCACCAAGGCGACGAUACAUAGCCGACCUGAGAGGGUGAUCGGCCACACUGGGACUGAGACACGGCCCAGACUCCUACGGGAGGCAGCAGUAGGGAAUCUUCGGCAAUGGACGGAAGUCUGACCGAGCAACGCCGCGUGAGUGAAGAAGGUUUUCGGAUCGUAAAGCUCUGUUGUUAGAGAAGAACGUUGGUAGGAGUGGAAAAUCUACCAAGUGACGGUAACUAACCAGAAAGGGACGGCUAACUACGUGCCAGCAGCCGCGGUAAUACGCAGGUCCCGAGCGUUGUCCGGAUUUAUUGGGCGUAAAGAGCUCGUAGGUGGUUUGUCGCGUCGUCUGUGAAAUUCCGGGGCUUAACUCCGGGCGUGCAGGCGAUACGGGCAUAACUUGAGUACUGUAGGGGAGACUGGAAUUCCUGGUGUAGCGGUGAAAUGCGCAGAUAUCAGGAGGAACACCGGUGGCGAAGGCGGGUCUCCGGGCAGUAACUGACGCUGAGGAGCGAAAGCAUGGGGAGCGAACAGGAUUAGAUACCCUGGUAGUCCAUGCCGUAAACGGUGGGCGCUAGGUGUGGGUUUCCUUCCACGGGAUCCGUGCCGUAGCUAACGCAUUAAGCGCCCCGCCUGGGGAGUACGGCCGCAAGGCUAAAACUCAAAGGAAUUGACGGGGGCCCGCACAAGCGGCGGAGCAUGUGGAUUAAUUCGAUGCAACGCGAAGAACCUUACCUGGGCUUGACAUAUACAGGAUCGCGCCAGAGAUGGUGUUUCCCUUGUGGCUUGUAUACAGGUGGUGCAUGGUUGUCGUCAGCUCGUGUCGUGAGAUGUUGGGUUAAGUCCCGCAACGAGCGCAACCCUUGUCUUAUGUUGCCAGCACGUUGUGGUGGGGACUCGUAAGAAACUGCCGGGGUUAACUCGGAGGAAGGUGGGGAUGACGUCAAAUCAUCAUGCCCCUUAUGUCCAGGGCUUCACACAUGCUACAAUGGUCGGUACAGUGGGUUGCCAGUCCGUGAGGGCGAGCUAAUCCCGCAAAGCCGGUCUCAGUUCGGAUCGGGGUCUGCAACUCGACCCCGUGAAGUCGGAGUCGCUAGUAAUCGCAGAUCAGCAACGCUGCGGUGAAUACGAACCCGGGCCU
RNAcentral lists this ribosomal RNA (1373 nucleotides) under uncultured bacterium. Its description in RNAcentral is "partial 16S ribosomal RNA". It matches the Rfam family "Bacterial small subunit ribosomal RNA", at positions 28 to 1381 of the family's 1533-position model. The record is from RNAcentral.